Molecule: long non-coding RNA, 293 nt
Organism: Lucilia sericata (common green bottle fly)
Lineage: Eukaryota; Metazoa; Arthropoda; Insecta; Diptera; Calliphoridae
Exons: 3
Source: RefSeq, a predicted model, not a curated record
UGUAUAGGUGAAGUUUGCGAAGCUAUCCAAACAAAUCUUUGUACCAAGCAUAUUGUUUUCGAAAUGUGUGAAGAGAAAAGGAUGGAAGCCAAAAGAUUUUUUAAUACUAAAUGUUACAUACCAGGGGAAACUGAAACAUAGUAUUAAUGCUAUGGCCAUAUGUGAUCAUGAAAUGUACAUUAGGGCUAUUAAUGGGCGUUAUGGAGGUGCUUGUCAUGAUUCACAUGUUUGGAAUUUAUCAGAAGAGAGAGAAUAUUUAAAAGAAAUGUUCUAAACUGGUGAUACUGGAACAA